RNAcentral lists this transfer RNA (67 nucleotides) under Marmota monax (woodchuck). Its description in RNAcentral is "tRNA.Val". Lineage: Eukaryota; Metazoa; Chordata; Mammalia; Rodentia; Sciuridae. The record is from RNAcentral.
GGUUAUAGCUCAGUGGUAGAGCGCUUGCCUCACACAUGCAAGGCCCUGGGUUCAAUCCUCAACACCA